GCCCCCAUCGUCUAGGGGCCCAGGACGUGGCCCUCUCAAGGCCAAAACCGGGGUUCGAAUCCCCGUGGGGGCACCA
RNAcentral lists this transfer RNA (76 nucleotides) under Chloroflexota bacterium. RNAcentral's name for it is "Chloroflexi bacterium (groundwater metagenome) tRNA-Glu". It matches the Rfam family "tRNA". From Rfam's summary of the family: Transfer RNA (tRNA) molecules are approximately 80 nucleotides in length. Their secondary structure includes four short double-helical elements and three loops (D, anti-codon, and T loops). Lineage: Bacteria; Bacillati; Chloroflexota. RNAcentral also lists the same sequence under 1 other name. The record is from RNAcentral.